AGUUUAUGCAAAUCUGACAUUUCCAGUUUCUUCUUAUAUGAAUCAAAGUUCAGUGAUUCAAUCUGACAAAGAAGCUGCAGACAGAACAAAGACAAAUGACUCCAACAAUGAUCAGACCUGUUUGUUUGCUGCUUUUUCUCUUUUUCUUUGGUGUCUUACCUGGUAUCAGGGGUCAAACACUGACUGAGUCUGAAUCAGUGGUUAAAAGACCUGGAGAAUCCCACAAACUGACUUGUACAUAUUCAGGGUUUAGUAGUGAUCCUUAUAUAGCUUGGAUCAGACAGGCUGCAGGAAAAGGACUGGAGUGGAUCGCUUGGAUCAACCCUGGCAGCAGCAGCAUCUACUACUCAGAGUCAGUGAAAAACCGCUUCACCAUCUCCAGAGACAACAGCAGAAAGCAGGUGUAUCUGCAGAUGAACAGUCUGAGAGCUGAGGAUUCUGCUGUUUAUUACUGCGCUCGAAGAGACACAGUGACUCAAGAGACACAAACUCUGUACAAAAACACCACACGAAGAUAAUGGCUGUCAUCGGGUUUUUAAAAAUAUGAUUUUAUAGUAGACUGGAUGCAAAAUAUGUGGAAAUUGAUAUUUGCAAAAAAGAGCGUUUAAAGGUGCAAAAUAAUAACAGCUUCAGGGAGAGUUAGGAGGUUUGUUU
Oryzias melastigma (Indian medaka) is the source of this 654-nucleotide non-coding RNA. NCBI's taxonomy places the organism in Eukaryota, Metazoa, Chordata, Actinopteri, Beloniformes, Adrianichthyidae. The record is from the annotation of a RefSeq genome assembly.